CCCAAAUUCGAAUAAAGCCCCCUUAUAAAGUCAAAAACCCUAAAAAUUCCUAUUCUCUUUCAUUUUCUCUUAGCCGUCACCUGCCUUCUUUCUCUCUCUUAAACUUCACUCUCUUUAACCCCUAAAAUCCUCUUUAUUGUUGUUCAAACACUAAAAUCCUCUUCUAUCCUUGAAUAUUUUUACAUCAUUCUAUGCCUCCUGAUAUUGUACACGUCACUAAGCCUCUCCUUUGUUUAUCCAAGCAAGUAGCGGCCAAUCAAAUCCAUCUCAAAGAGGAGAAGAUAAAUUACACCAUGAAGGAUGGGCAAAACAAAGAGAAUUAAAGAUUGUACUUAAUUAAAAAUCAGUGUAGCUUUUGAAAUUCAAUUUGUUAUUCGUUAAUUAGAUUUGGUUUGUAAUCCUUUAUGUACAUUUAUUAGACUAUUUUGUUUAAGAUUGAA
Chenopodium quinoa (quinoa) is the source of this 440-nucleotide long non-coding RNA. RefSeq lists it as uncharacterized. The record is from RefSeq and is a predicted model, not a curated record. Lineage: Eukaryota; Viridiplantae; Streptophyta; Magnoliopsida; Caryophyllales; Amaranthaceae. The transcript is spliced from 2 exons.